AUCCUUGAAAAUUCUGGUGAUUAGUCCAAAUGGUUUCGCUCUCCACCUCCACGAGCCACGCUCAGCCACUUCCGUCGGCGUACAACCGCCGUCCGGCGGAGAGGAAAGUUACAGUGCGAUGCGUAUCCUUUUCCCCGCGCGAGCCUAAACAUACGAGUAACGACUCCUCCCUGGCGGUUAGAGACACGAGGCCGAGAAAAUGGGUGAAGAGCACGGAGGAGAGAUACUCGAAGGAGAUUCAAGAUGAAAUGAACUCCAAAAUCGCGUCUAGGAAAGCGAUAUCGAUAAUACUCCGAAGAGAAGCUACAAAGGCGAUAAUCGAGAAGAAGAAAGGACCAACCAACUCGAAGAAGCUUCUCCCAAGGACGGUGCUCGAGGCUCUCCACGAGCGAAUCACAGCUCUCCGAUGGGAAUCUGCUCUUCAGGUGUUUGAGCUACUUCGAGAACAGCUAUGGUACAAACCUAACGUCGGCAUCUACGUCAAGCUCAUCGUCAUGCUUGGCAAAUGCAAGCAGCCUGAAAAGGCUCAUCGGCUCUUUCAAGAAAUGAUCGGUGAAGGCUGUGUGGUGAAUCAUGAAGUGUAUACUGCGCUUCUAUCUGCUUAUAGCAGGAGUGGACGAUUUGACGAUGCGUUUACUCUUCUGGAACUUAUGAAAAGCAGUCAUAACUGUCAUCCCGAUGUGCAUACUUACUCCAUCCUCAUCAAGUCGUUUCUUCAGGUUUUUGCGUUUGAUGAGGUUCAGGCUCUGCUCGCUGACAUGAGAAGACUGGGUAUUAGGCCUAAUACAAUCACGUAUAAUACCCUCAUCGAUGCGUAUGGGAAAGCAAAAAUGUUUGUGGAGAUGGAAUCAACACUUAUCCAAAUGCUUGGAGAGGAUGACUGCAAGCCUGAUUCUUGGACCAUGAACUCAACACUUAGAGCCUUUGGUGGGAACGGGCAGAUAGAAAUGAUGGAGAAUUGUUACGACAAGUUUCAGAGCUCUGGGAUCGAACCCAACAUCAGAACGUUCAAUAUCCUCCUUGAUUCGUAUGGGAAAACAGGAAACUACAAGAAGAUGAGCGCCGUGAUGGAGUUCAUGCAGAAGUACCACUACUCAUGGACCAUAGUCACAUACAAUGUGGUCAUUGACGCGUUCGGGAGGGCAGGAGACUUGAAACAAAUGGAAUAUUUGUUUAGGCUGAUGCAGUCGGAGAGGAUAAAACCAAGCUGUGUUACGCUGUGUUCUCUUGUUCGUGCGUAUGGAAGAGCUGGUAAAGCGGAUAAAAUUGGAGGAGUCUUGCGUUUCAUUGAGAACUCAGACGUAAGGUUGGACCUUGUGUUCUUUAACUGUCUGGUAGAUGCCUACGGGAGGAUGGAGAAGUUUGCAGAGAUGAAAGGUGUUCUCGAAUUAAUGGAGAAGAAGGGAGUUAAACCUGAUAAGAUUACAUACAGGACAAUGGUUAAGGCUUACAGAAUCAGUGGCAUGACUAGCCAUGUAAAGGAACUUGAUGGUGUGGUCGAGUCCGUUGGUGAAGCCCAAGUUGUGUUGAAAAAGCCGGACUUUUAGCCGAGGAAUAGAGCUUAAUUUUCUGCAGCUAGAUAUGAGAGUUGAAGGCUGUACGCUUCUUUCAGCUGAGUCAAAACCUCUGCAAUAGAUGGUCUGCUUGAUGCAUCUCUCCCCACACAUCUUAUAGCAACAGAAGCAGCUUUUUUCAUGCUCUCUGGAUCAAAUGUUCCCUUCAAGACAUCAUCCACAAUCUCAAAUGCUCCUGCUUGUAGUCCAGCCCUUUCAUGAACAAGACUAAACGUUACUAUCUGCCAGAACCAAAUGUGUUUUUAGUACCAAUGACAGAUGUUGAAGAUGUACCUUUUGCAGCAUCAACUGCAACCUUUAGUCUUGAAACCCAGUUCAAUGAAAGUCUUUUACGACUUGGACCUGCAGAAGCAAUUAGCUUUGAGAGGAAGAUGUCUUUGAAAAAGGAUGAUGAGCAUUAGCUAGAUACUUGGGGAGUUGUAUACCGUAAAGGUGAUCAGCUAAUGAUCCACCAGGCAGAUACUCAUAAACUAGUAUUUGCCGUUUUGGUUCGUAGCAGAAGCCCUCGAAGGAAACUAGAUUUUGGUGGCGUAUCUGUGACAAAAGAUGCACCUACAAGUAGACAGUAUAAAGGGAGACAUUAGACCGCAGCACUCGGAUCACUAAAGAUGAAUGCGUUCUUGGCCGUGGGUUCGAAUGCAUGAUAGGAAAGGUUUGAGCGCUUAACCUCGUUGAUGAAAGAAUCAGCUCCAAGUUGAGUUUUAUCAAACCGCACUUUGACCGCAACUUGUUUUCCAUCAGGUAGUUUCCCAUGGUAUACAGAUCCAAAACUUCCACGGCCAAUCACUUCCUUGAAGUUCCUUGUAGCUGUCUUGAUCUCUUUAUGAGAAAAGAUUCUUGAAGUGUUCCAGUUCUGCAUCUUCAGUUGUUCUCCUGUUCCUGAUUUUUGAUAACUAUUAAGAAUCAUAAAGCCACAAACUAUGUGGAGCAAAAAAAGAAAGCAUUUGUUCCCCCCAUACUGGUUAUAUCUCUCUCUUUGUUUCUCUGUCUCCUCGUGAAGAUCGACAUGAAAACAAAGAUGAGGAGAGUGGCAAACAAGGCGCCACCAGAAACUCCUAGCAAGAUCGCUAUACGGUUUUGCUUCUUGUGUUUCUUAUUGGUAGGGAUAGUGACUUGUGGUAUGUCGAUUGUUGAAGACACAUUGUUGCACGAUGACGAAGUGAACGAAAGGCAUGGGUUCCCCGUUGUCCUGCAUAGAAAGCAUAUCAGUAACGCUAGAACACAACACUAGAGUACUGUAGCAAAUGGCGGUGAGACAGAAACAAUAUACCUUACUUCCAGACCCGUUCUGUUAAGUGACUGUGGCAAGGGGCCUACUAAGUUAUUGUUUUCCAGAUUCCUGAGCAGAAGUCAUAUAAAGAUCCUUCUUUGUAUGAGGUCCCUGCAAGGAAUAGAGACUGGCUUUAGAAUUACAGAAAACAAUUCCAGAAAAUCUCAGUAUAAGAUAACUUACAGAACUUCAAGGUUAAUCAGAUUUUCCAGCUCGGAUCCGAAAGAUUUUAUCUUAUUGAAGCUCAAGUUCCUGGAUAUAUACCAUCAGAAGCUUUUUUAAUACUACAAGAAACCUAAAACAUAUAAUUCUUCAAUGUUAUAUGGAUGAGUAUUACAGCUGCUGGAGAUGCUGAAGGCUUCCUACAUUCUGUAUCGCUCCAGUAAGUGAUGUAUUAUGCAAAUCCCUGGAGGAGAACACUCAGUGAUAACACACAUGCAUACAUGAGACGCUAGAAAUGCUGAAAACUUACAGUGUCUUGAGGUCAAGCAAGUCUCCAAAAGUUGGACUAAUGGAUCUCAGGUUGAUUUGUGAAAGAAACCUGGACAACAGCAAGAAGAAAAAUCUGAGCUGAGGUCCAGAAAUGUCAAAAGCAAGGAUUGUCUUACAAUGAUGUAACACGGCUUCCUUCACACUCAAUGUGGUUCCAAGGAAGAGGAGUGCAUGGGUCGUCUUGCCAUCCAAGGUCUUGCCCGGUAAAUUGUUCUAUGACUUUAAGCGCCGAAACUGCAAAAGAUAACUUAGAAGGUGAAUUUUUUGGCUGCUCUAUCUAGGUAGCAAUCAAACAGAGGAUACCUGUGGUAGAAGAAGCUUCUGGAGGGAUUUGGAGGAUUUGAAACACCUCAAGAGCGUUCACCUGAGGAUUAAACUUGAAUUUUUCGAAGGUGAUGUUUAACUCACUGAUUCUCUUUUGCGUAAAGUACAAAGCACUGGCUUCUGAGCUGGUCACGGUAUACUCAGACUGUUUGACUUCGUUAUUGAUCGUCACACUAAAAGAAGGAGAGAGUGAGAGUAUCCCAGCGAAGUAGAGGAUAAUGUAGUAGCCCCCUAGUGUAUCUAGAGAAAGUGUAUACGAAAGUAUCUCUUUGCGAGCAAGAAUCCGUGCAGUCUGUAGAACGGUAUCUGGCGGAGUCUCAGUGAUGUUGAAGGAAGACAAUCUUGCGAGUCUAUUGAAGUUCCAAGAGGUGUGGAAAGGUGCAAAACUUUGGUCUGGAUCCCAUAUUCGAUCAAACGGAUCUGAAGGGUACCUGCCAUUCAAUAUAAUUCACCUAGUGAGUUCAACACCCACAAGAAAGAUCAUAUUUAAAGAGCCUGAGAGAGAACUCAUACCUGAUAGUCCCAUUUGUGUAGCCGCUAUUGAUCCGGUAACUUCUCCUGAGGAUAGCAUUUGGCGAAUCCUCUAAGCUGUUUCUGUAAGCACCUAAAGGAAGUGGCCGUACUUCUAGAGAGGAGAUAACCGGAAUGCCUCUUCCUUUAACCGCAAGCAAGCAAAGCGAAAGAGAAUCCUUGUUGACCGGCCAAACCAACUCUUCAAUCCAAGGAUCUUUGGUUCUGAGAUCAACAGUACUAGUGACACUCCUCCCCAAAGAGACACGAAAUGCUGGAGGCUGAUUCUGGCUAUCAUAGUUUCUAUAAACGAAUGUGGCUCGAAUCAGAACCGAGGACAGGUCCUUCCUCACAGGUAGCUUAUAACACUGGCGACUUUGAGAGUCUGGGAAGAAUCUGAUGGGAACAGUAGAAGUUGAAGUUCCCUCGAUGUAAGUAACGGCAGUAGUGUUACCUGUUUCGAUAUAAUCGUUGUCUGAGACCCAGGAGAUGUUAUAAGCAGCGGUGUAACUUGAGCCGCCACAAGACAAACUCAAGAAACCUGUUCCAUUACAAAGAUUGAAUAAAACAGUUGAAGGUAAAAGAACAAAAGUAAUGGUACAAGAAUCUUCUCCAUACCAUUUGGAUUGGAGAAACCAAACACCCAGAAGCCACUGAGCAAAACCAAAUCGAUCCAGAAGAUCAUCUUCAAAUUUUCUGAGUGAAAUCUGGUGAACAUAUAUUAAAAUUGUUCUAUUGUGUUAUUAGGAUUAUCCUAAGAACUCAUUCUUUAUAUAUAUAUCAAUGGAUUUGUAUGUGUGAAGGUGUUAUCAAUGAUGAUGAAUCGUAGGUACUUUACUCAGUGGUCAUAAUGCACUCACUAGCAGUAUGUAUCAGCUAAUAAUCUAAAUUAACAAUUUAAGUACA
RNA transcript from Brassica napus (rape), 5076 nucleotides. It is a transcript of the gene named pentatricopeptide repeat-containing protein At5g48730, chloroplastic-like, with no coding region annotated. The record is from RefSeq and is a predicted model, not a curated record. Lineage: Eukaryota; Viridiplantae; Streptophyta; Magnoliopsida; Brassicales; Brassicaceae. The transcript has 6 exons.